Molecule: unclassified non-coding RNA, 244 nt
Filed under: plant metagenome
Description: partial contains small subunit ribosomal RNA, internal transcribed spacer 1, and 5.8S ribosomal RNA
Rfam family: Eukaryotic small subunit ribosomal RNA (bases 1-54)
Source: RNAcentral
GGAAGUAAAAGUCGUAACAAGAUUUCCGUAGGUGAACCUGCGGAAGGAUCAUUAAAGAACGCCCCGUUUUUUGAAAUGGGUAAUUCUAAACCGUGUAUACAUACCUUUGUUGCUUAGGCAGGCCGCCCCUCAGGGCGUCGGCUCCGGCUGACUGCGCCUGCCAGAGGACCCAAACUCUUUUGUUUAGUGAUGUCUGAGUACUAUAUAAUAGUUAAAACUUUCAACAACGGAUCUCUUGGUUCUG